Molecule: ribosomal RNA, 377 nt
Filed under: uncultured bacterium
Lineage: Bacteria
Description: bacterial SSU rRNA
Rfam family: Bacterial small subunit ribosomal RNA
Source: RNAcentral
UACGAGGGGUGCAAACGUUGCUCGGAAUUAUUGGGCGUAAAGCGUGCGUAGGCGGUCUAGCAAGUCGGGUGUGAAAGCCCUCGGCUUAACCGAGGAAGUGCAUUCGAAACUACUAGGCUUGAGUACCGGAGAGGGUGACGGAAUUCCCGGUGUAGAGGUGAAAUUCGUAGAUAUCGGGAGGAACACCAGUGGCGAAGGCGGUCACCUGGACGGAUACUGACGCUGAGUGCACGAAAGCGUGGGGAGCAAACAGGAUUAGAUACCCUGGUAGUCCACGCUGUAAACGAUGGAUGCUAGACGUCGCGGGUAUUGACCCCUGCGGCAUCGAAGCUAACGCGAUAAGCAUCCCGCCUGGGGAGUACGGCCGCAAGGCUAAA